RNAcentral lists this ribosomal RNA (292 nucleotides) under uncultured bacterium. Its description in RNAcentral is "partial 16S ribosomal RNA". It matches the Rfam family "Bacterial small subunit ribosomal RNA", at positions 505 to 796 of the family's 1533-position model. The record is from RNAcentral.
GUGUCAGCAGCCGCGGUAAGACGAACCGUGCGAACGUUGUUCGGAUUCACUGGGCUUAAAGGGCGCGUAGGCGGAUUACCAAGUCGGGGGUGAAAUCUUUCGGCUCAACCGGAAAAUAGCCUUCGAUACUGGUAGUCUUGAGGGAGGUAGGGGCAGGUGGAACUUCUGGUGGAGCGGUGAAAUGCGUAGAUAUCAGAAGGAACGCCGGUGGCGAAAGCGACCUGCUGGAUCUCCUCUGACGCUGAGGCGCGAAAGCUAGGGGAGCAAACGGGAUUAGAAACCCGCGUAGUCC